ACGAACGCUGGCGGCGUGCUUAACCCCUGCAAGUCGCACGGAAAGGCCCUGCUUUUGUGGGGUGCUCGAGUGGCGAACGGGUGAGUAACACGUGAGUAACCUGCCCUUGACUUUGGGAUAACUUCAGGAAACUGGGGCUAAUACCGGAUAGGAGCUCCUGCUGCAUGGUGGGGGUUGGAAAGUUUCGGCGGUUGGGGAUGGACUCGCGGCUUAUCAGCUUGUUGGUGGGGUAGUGGCUUACCAAGGCUUUGACGGGUAGCCGGCCUGAGAGGGUGACCGGCCACAUUGGGACUGAGAUACGGCCCAGACUCCUACGGGAGGCAGCAGUGGGGAAUAUUGCACAAUGGGCGGAAGCCUGAUACAGCAACGCCGCGUGCGGGAUGACGGCCUUCGGGUUGUAAACCGCUUUCGCCUGUGACGAAGCGUGAGUGACGGUAAUGGGUAAAGAAGCACCGGCUAACUACGUG
Molecule: ribosomal RNA, 467 nt
Filed under: uncultured bacterium
Lineage: Bacteria
Description: partial 16S ribosomal RNA
Rfam family: Bacterial small subunit ribosomal RNA
Source: RNAcentral